GAUGAACGCUGGCGGCGUGCCUAAUACAUGCAAGUCGAGCGAACGGACGAGAAGCUUGCUUCUCUGAUGUUAGCGGCGGACGGGUGAGUAACACGUGGAUAACCUACCUAUAAGACUGGGAUAACUUCGGGAAACCGGAGCUAAUACCGGAUGAUAUUUUGAACCGCAUGGUUCAAAAGUGAAAGACGGUCUUGCUGUCACUUAUAGAUGGAUCCGCGCUGCAUUAGCUAGUUGGUAAGGUAACGGCUUACCAAGGCAACGAUGCAUAGCCGACCUGAGAGGGUGGUCCGGCACACUGGAAACGAGGCACGGGCCAGAAUCCUUAGGGAGGCCACAGUAGGGAAUUUUCCGCAAUGGGCGAAAACCUUACGGAGCAAAGGCGCGUGAGGGAUUGAGGGCCUCCGAUCGUUAAACUCUGUUAUUAGGGAAGAACAUAUGUGUAAGUAACUGUGCACAUCUUGACGGUACCUAAUCAGAAAGCCACGGCUAACUACGUG
Molecule: ribosomal RNA, 497 nt
Filed under: uncultured bacterium
Lineage: Bacteria
Description: partial 16S ribosomal RNA
Rfam family: Bacterial small subunit ribosomal RNA
Source: RNAcentral